UACGGGGGGGGCAAGCGUUGUUCGGAAUUACUGGGCGUAAAGGGCUCGUAGGCGGCCCACUAAGUCCGACGUGAAAUCCCCAGGCUUAACUCGGGAACUGCGUCGGAUACUGGUGGGCUUGAAUCCGGGAGAGGGAUGCGGAAUUCCAGGUGUAGCGGUGAAAUGCGUAGAUAUCUGGAGGAACACCGGUGGCGAAGGCGGCAUCCUGGACCGGCAUUGACGCUGAGGAGCGAAAGCCAGGGGAGCAAACGGG
This 253-nucleotide ribosomal RNA is filed under the name uncultured bacterium. RNAcentral describes it as "partial 16S ribosomal RNA". It matches the Rfam family "Bacterial small subunit ribosomal RNA", at positions 524 to 776 of the family's 1533-position model. The record is from RNAcentral.